GUGUCCUAUGCUCUUUCACUGCAAAUACUCUCUCUGUGAGAAGAAACCGUCAGCGGCAAAAAAAACCCGGCACGUUCGAUGUGCGAAUCCGUCUGGUGUCUGCAGUGACUCCACUGUUUGAUGGUGAGCUGUCUGUAGGCGGGCCAUAUCUUGUGCGAGUGACUAAAAUGAGUGAGACAGCAUGGCCCUCAAGUCGGCAGAUCUGCCCCUGAGUCGACUGCUAUCUGGGAUCCAGAGAUCCACCAAAAACUAGAAGGAAAGUUUUUAUGCACAAGUAAAGUUAGCUCCAAAGAUGCAGCAGAAUGUGAACCUCGCAUCAGCCAAACAAAAAUGCUGCGCCCACAAAAAGGUAUACAUCGGCGCAAGAUUUGGAGUUGUUGAUGGACUCAGACUCCGAUAAUUCAUGUUUUGAUCAAUAUUCUGAUACUGAUCUGGAUGAAGUAGCAAACGAGUCUGAUAGGUUGAAUCAGGAUCACCAUGUUGUGACACACACAGAUACAUCAAUCACAGAGGUGAGGGAGACGACUGUGUUGAAAUUUCUAAUCCGUAUUGCGGACGUGCCAAGCUUAGACAGAUAACGUUAACCAGUGGACUUGGACAAAGAAGAUGUGGGCAAAGACAAAGAGCACCCAGUCAUCAACCUGUGGACAGUGACAGUAGUUCAGAGUAUGAUACUUCAGACUCGGAGUGGAGGGAUUCAAGACCCAGGUCUCGUUGUCCAUUCCCACCCACCAGAGGUGCUAGAGACACAGAGUCGGGGAAUUCAAGCCCAGCUCUCCUUCAUUCCAACCUGCCAGAGGUGAUACAGACGCGAAGUCGAGGGCGUGAAGGUCCAGGUCCCAUUGUCCAUUCCCACCUGCCAGAGGUGAUAGAGAUUGAAUAACGAGGCAGAGGCUAGACAUGUGAAAGAGGUCAAAUAUGUGGGCGUGGCAUGGCUGCUAACCAAGCAAGGGUCCCUGUAAAUCAUCCAGGUGCAGUUCCUGGACCUGGUAAUCCUGUGUAGCGUGAAAUGAACUGGCAGCCAAAAAACCUUCCUUUC
Long non-coding RNA from Siniperca chuatsi (mandarin fish), 1039 nucleotides. RefSeq lists it as uncharacterized. The record is from RefSeq and is a predicted model, not a curated record. The transcript is spliced from 4 exons. Lineage: Eukaryota; Metazoa; Chordata; Actinopteri; Centrarchiformes; Sinipercidae.